AUUGAACGCUGGCGGCAGGCCUAACACAUGCAAGUCGAGCGGUAGAGAGAAGCUUGCUUCUCUUGAGAGCGGCGGACGGGUGAGUAAUGCCUAGGAAUCUGCCUAGUGGUGGGGGAUAACGUUCGGAAACGGACGCUAAUACCGCAUACGUCCUACGGGAGAAAGCGGGGGAUCUUCGGACCUCGCGCCAUUAGAUGAGCCUAGGUCGGAUUAGCUAGUUGGUGAGGUAAUGGCUCACCAAGGCGACGAUCCGUAACUGGUCUGAGAGGAUGAUCAGUCACACUGGAACUGAGACACGGUCCAGACUCCUACGGGAGGCAGCAGUGGGGAAUAUUGGACAAUGGGCGCAAGCCUGAUCCAGCAAUGCCGCGUGUGUGAAGAAGGUCUUCGGAUUGUAAAGCUCUUUUGUCAGGGAAGAAACAGCAGCUCUAACACAGUCUGCGAAUGACGGUACCUGAAGAAUAAGCACCGGCU
RNAcentral lists this ribosomal RNA (474 nucleotides) under uncultured bacterium. RNAcentral describes it as "bacterial SSU rRNA". It matches the Rfam family "Bacterial small subunit ribosomal RNA", at positions 30 to 498 of the family's 1533-position model. The record is from RNAcentral.